RNAcentral lists this ribosomal RNA (308 nucleotides) under uncultured soil bacterium. RNAcentral describes it as "bacterial SSU rRNA". It matches the Rfam family "Bacterial small subunit ribosomal RNA", at positions 26 to 359 of the family's 1533-position model. The record is from RNAcentral.
AGAACGAACGCUGGCGGCACGCCUAAUACAUGCAAGUCGAACGAACUCUUCGGAGUUAGUGGCGCACGGGUGCGUAACGCGUGGGAAUCUGCCCCUUGGUUCGGAAUAACAGUUGGAAACGACUGCUAAUACCGGAUGAUGACGAAAGUCCAAAAGAUUUAUCGCCAAGGGAUGAGCCCGCGUAGGAUUAGCUAGUUGGUGAGGUAAAGGCUCACCAAGGCAACGAUCCUUAGCUGGUCUGAGAGGAUGAUCAGCCACACUGGGACUGAGACACGGCCCAGACCUCCUACGGGGAGGCAGCAGUAGGG